CGAACGCUGGCGGCGUGCUUAACACAUGCAAGUCGAACGGAAAGGCCUUUUCGGAGGUACUCGAGCGGCGAACGGGUGAGUAACACGUGGGUGAUCUGCCCUGCACUCUGGGAUAAGCCUGGGAAACUGGGUCUAAUACCGGAUAGGACCGCACUUUAGUGUGUGUGGUGGAAAGUUUUUUCGGUGUAGGAUGAGCCCGCGGCCUAUCAGCUUGUUGGUGGGGUAAUGGCCUACCAAGGCGGCGACGGGUAGCCGGACUGAGAGGUUGGUCGGCCACAUUGGGACUGAGAUACGGCCCAGACUCCUACGGGAGGCAGCAGUGGGGAAUAUUGCACAAUGGGCGCAAGCCUGAUGCAGCGACGCCGCGUGGGGGAUGACGGCCUUCGGGUUGUAAACUCCUUUCGCCAGGGACGAAGCGUUUUGUGACGGUACCUGGAGAAGAAGCACCGGCUAACUACGUG
RNAcentral lists this ribosomal RNA (461 nucleotides) under uncultured bacterium. RNAcentral describes it as "partial 16S ribosomal RNA". It matches the Rfam family "Bacterial small subunit ribosomal RNA", at positions 30 to 507 of the family's 1533-position model. The record is from RNAcentral.